RNAcentral lists this ribosomal RNA (253 nucleotides) under uncultured bacterium. RNAcentral describes it as "partial 16S ribosomal RNA". It matches the Rfam family "Bacterial small subunit ribosomal RNA", at positions 524 to 776 of the family's 1533-position model. The record is from RNAcentral.
UACGGAGGGUGCAAGCGUUAUCCGGAUUCACUGGGUUUAAAGGGUGUGUAGGCGGAUAUUUAAGUCAGUGGUGAAAUCUCCGGGCUCAACCCGGAAACUGCCAUUGAUACUAUUUAUCUUGAAUUCUGUUGAGGUGGGCGGAAUACAUCAUGUAGCGGUGAAAUGCUUAGAUAUGAUGUAGGACACCGAUUGCGAAGGCAGCUCACUAAACAGACAUUGACGCUGAGGCACGAAAGCGUGGGGAUCAAACAGG